This is a non-coding RNA of Didymella keratinophila, 107 nucleotides long. NCBI's taxonomy places the organism in Eukaryota, Fungi, Ascomycota, Dothideomycetes, Pleosporales, Didymellaceae. The record is from the annotation of a GenBank genome assembly.
GGUCCUGUGGUCUAGUGGUAUGAUUCUCGCUUAGGGACUUGCGUAAAGCACCGUCCAGCACUAAGCACUGUUGCGAGAGGCCCCGCGUUCGAGUCGCGGCAGGACCC